RNAcentral lists this ribosomal RNA (524 nucleotides) under uncultured bacterium. RNAcentral describes it as "partial 16S ribosomal RNA". It matches the Rfam family "Bacterial small subunit ribosomal RNA", at positions 28 to 523 of the family's 1533-position model. The record is from RNAcentral.
GACGAACGCUGGCGGCGUGCCUAAUACAUGCAAGACGAGCGCAGGAAAUCAUCCGAACCCUUCGGGGGGACGUUGGUGGAAUGAGCGGCGGACGGGUGAGUAACACGUAAAGAACCUGCCCUCAGGUCUGGGAUAACCACGAGAAAUCGGGGCUAAUACCGGAUGGGUCAUCGGACCGCAUGGUCCGAGGAUGAAAGGCGCUUCGGCGUCGCCUGGGGAUGGCUUUGCGGUGAGUUAGCUAGUUGGUGGGGUAAUGGCCCACCAAGGCGACGAUGCAUAGCCGACCUGAGAGGGUGAUCGGCCACACUGGGACUGAGACAAGGCCCAGACUCCUACGGGAGGCAGCAGUAGGGAAUCGUCCACAAUGGACGAAAGUCUGAUGGAGCAACGCCGCGUGAACGAUGAAGGCCUUCGGGUCGUAAAGUUCUGUUGUAAGGGAAGAACAAGUGCCGCAGGCAAUGGCGGCACCUUGACGGUACCUUGCGAGAAAGCCACGGCUAACUACGUGCCAGCCGCCGCGGUAA